RNAcentral lists this transfer RNA (78 nucleotides) under Collinsella aerofaciens. Its description in RNAcentral is "tRNA-Arg(ccg)". The record is from RNAcentral. RNAcentral also lists the same sequence under 1 other name. Lineage: Bacteria; Bacillati; Actinomycetota; Coriobacteriia; Coriobacteriales; Coriobacteriaceae.
GAGACGCUGUGCGGCGAAGGAGGUCGCUCGCUUUCCGGCGGCGAGCGGCAGCGCGUUUCCAUUGCUCGAGCGCUUCUC